GGAGAGGUGGCAGAGUGGUCGAAUGCGGCGGUCUUGAAAACCGUUGAGGGGUUAAACCCUCCGGGGGUUCGAAUCCCUCCCUCUCCGCCA
This 90-nucleotide transfer RNA is filed under the name Chromatiales bacterium (ex Bugula neritina AB1). RNAcentral describes it as "tRNA-Ser". It matches the Rfam family "tRNA". Rfam says of the family: Transfer RNA (tRNA) molecules are approximately 80 nucleotides in length. Their secondary structure includes four short double-helical elements and three loops (D, anti-codon, and T loops). The record is from RNAcentral. Lineage: Bacteria; Pseudomonadati; Pseudomonadota; Gammaproteobacteria; Chromatiales.